Panicum virgatum (switchgrass) is the source of this 2961-nucleotide RNA transcript. It is a transcript of the gene named mitochondrial inner membrane protease ATP23-like, with no coding region annotated. The transcript has 8 exons. The record is from RefSeq and is a predicted model, not a curated record. Lineage: Eukaryota; Viridiplantae; Streptophyta; Magnoliopsida; Poales; Poaceae.
UUCGCUUCUUCCUGCGCCGCCGGGCGGGGAUCAGUCAGGAGUCAGGACUCAGGAGAGUAAUGGCGGAGGAGCACCACGGCGGCGGCGCCUCCCCGGUCCUCCGCGUGGAGGCCGAGUCCUCCUCCGAGCAGCGCGUCGCCUCGUCCCGGGGCGCCAUGUCGCGCGAGGACUGCGUCGAGGGCAUCCGCUCCGCGCUCAAACAUCCGACGGUGCGGUUCCUGAGGGAGGAGAUGGAGAAGGCCGGCUGCCAGGUCUGGCCGAGGCUCAUCCAGGCGGCCACCUGCUCCACCGCAGGCGGCUACGCCAGCCGGGAAGGGAUAAAAGUGUGCUGCAAUCACAUGAGACUUCAAGAUGAGAUAAAUCAGGUCAUUAUUCAUGAACUGAUUCAUGCUUAUGAUGACUGUGUUACCAAGAAUAUGAAUUGGAGGAAUUGCGCUCACCAUGCUUGCUCUGAGAUUCGAGCCAAUCACCUUAGUGGUGAUUGCCAUUACAAACGUGAAUUGUUGCGUGGUUUCAUGAAGAUAAGGGGUCAUGAGCAAUUGUAUCAGUCGUCACAAAGAUGUGUGCAUUGAGAAAGCUGUUGAAGAAGGAAGUGGAGAUGGAAGGAAAACGUGGACUGAUGGAAGGAAAAAUGUAUUUCGGUGAAGGUCCAGGACGGGAAUACUGGGAUUCUCUCGGUGGCCUUCAACACUGCUGCACAUUACAAACGUGGACUAUUCCGUGGCUACCUGGGCUGGAUAUAUGGGAUCACAAGCAAAUGAGCCCCUUUUGCUGACUUCCCAUGCAUCCCAUAAUGGCAUUUGCCUCUAGUGCGUCUCUAUCUUCUCUUUUCUUUUCCCUUUUUCUAUAUUCUAUUAUUACGCAUACGUGUCCUUAUGUUAUGAACUAUCCAGUUGUUGUUCAACCUAGCUUUUGUUUUUUUUUCUUUUGAAAAAACUAGGUAGGAGCACUGCUGAAUAGUUAACAGAAUAAAUGCUGGUUGCAACGGUCAAGCUUUUUUUUUUUGCAACGGUCAAGCAUAGUAUGCCAACGUUCCACUCAUGAUAUCGAGGUUUCUAGCUUCAGGAUUAUGAUUUCCCAGUUAAACUCCCUUUUACAGACCUUUCCAGUUAAACUGUUGUGUAGUUGAAAUCUGUCUCUUUGGCAGCUGCUGCAAUUCUGAAGGAAGUAUCAAGAGGCGAGUUCUGGUGUCUUUGCCCAUGCAGCGACUAACAGAUGAUCUAGAGAGGCAUGAUGCUGGGUAUCCUGAACCGACAUGCAAUCUAUGUGUUGCUGAUCCUGCUCGAGUUAACUGGAUGGUAUCUCAAGCUCAAGAUCCUGAUAUGGUUGCAGGCCGAUCUUGAGUCGAGAUCUCUAAAAUAUUGUAUACAGAAGUGAUCCUGGGGUGUUUGUUGGACAGAAAAGAGCAGCAUCAAAGAUUCAAAGUAUGAUCAUCCCGACAAUCACUAGCAAGCUAUCUGCGCUUUCACAAACUAUCAGGGUACUUAAAGUGGCAGUAGGCCUGCCGUUCUAGCGCUGCUGCCUCUUUUUCAGCUUAAAAACAGUCCUGAGGACAACCAAACCAAUCUUCAGAGGCCACUGGCAGCUAGGAGUAGAGAAACGAUCAGCCAAUAGCACGGCAAACUAUCCACUAUCCAAGCACAUUUGCACUACACUAGCAUGCAAAUAUAUCAGUAAGCAAAUCCAGGCUACGUUCAGAGGCCAUGAGCCUACUGAAGAACCUAGAACAGUUUAAACAAAAACCAUGCCUAGUGACACCUUUUGUGAAUUCAAAACCCCACACUGUUUACUACUUAAUAUCGGCCUCGGUGUUCGUGUGCGUGGUUUGCUCGGGCGAGUGGAGCUCACAUGAGCCGCCAAUAAACUAGCUCAUCAGCUCUUGGCCCCAAAAAGCCAUGGCAGGGCCGCGAGCUUAAACAAAAGGCGCGAGCUCCAGAAACAAUAGAUUCUUCUCAUGGGAUGCGUCCCUCUCUCGAAGGCCGAGGCCCGGGAGGGGGACAGGAUGGAGGUAUUAAAACUCGGAACCCUGCAUCGCCUAGAGCCAAAUCUCCUGUGUCUUUGACUUGCGAGCUGUGCUCCCAACUGUCUUUGACGAGCCGUGCCUCUAUAUAUCCCACACGGUCGUCACACACGCUUGCAGAUGCGAGGAGGUAGGUGAGGCCGUGAGAACGAACACAGGCGAGAAGCAGGAGAGCAUGGCGUUGCUUGGGGUAGUGAGGCUGGUGGCUUUGGUGUUCUUGGCAGUCUUCAGUGCAUCACUUCAUCAACAAGUAGGGGUUGGUGCUAUCAGGUUGCACGACAGAAAGCAGCACGCCCAGCAGUGGGCGGAGGAGAGGAAUCGGUUGAGGUCGUACAUGACCAUGGACUACCAUCCAUGGCACCGGCGCGUGCCGAAGCACAACUGAUUCAGCUGGUAGGACCAGGUAGCAUCAUCAGGAAGUCUGAUGACCGAUGCUCUCAGCUCUAUGUCCAUCCUUCAGGCUCCAGCAGCAUCCAUCGAAGCAUGAAGGCAGGAGAAACCUGGCUUUCUCAGUUUCUCUGAUGAUCUCAGCUCACUGUCCGUUCUUCAGGCUCCAGCAGCAUAAGCAGCUAAUGUCGAAGCAUGAUGACUGACGGGAGAAAAGCUGAUAGCUGGCGUGAUUCUUUUCCUUGCAGCUGUAUGUGUAUCUACGCGUCCAGCGUGCAGCACUACGCGCGCAAAUUUUGCCCCCUGACCAAAGGUUAUUGCUAGAAAUAUAUAUACCCAGUUAUAGUACUAGUAGUAGUAAUUAGUGUUUAGUCUCUCUGUUACAUCUUUGUAAUAAGUUUAAAGUCUUGUAGUUUGGGUUGGUAAAGUAGCAGCUUCUUCUGUAAGUUAAAUAGGAGCUAGACCGAAAUGUUCAGGCCUGGAAUUGCUUAUGUACUGAACAUGUCGACCAUAACGGAAUAAGUAAACUGAAGGAGCAUUUGCUGCAUUGUUCC